CCUACGGGAGGCAGCAGUGAGGAAUAUUGGUCAAUGGGCGUAAGCCUGAACCAGCCAAGUCGCGUGCGGGAUGAAGGUUCUAUGGAUCGUAAACCUCUUUUAUAAGGGAAUAAACUGUGGGACGUGUCCUAUUUUGUAUGUACCUUAUGAAUAAGGAUCGGCUAACUCCGUGCCAGCAGCCGCGGUAAUACGGAGGAUCCGAGCGUUAUCCGGAUUUAUUGGGUUUAAAGGGUGCGUAGGCGGCCUUUUAAGUCAGCGGUGAAAGUCUGUGGCUCAACCCUGGAAUUGCCGUUGAUACUGGGGGGCUUGAGUAUGUUUGAGGCAGGCGGAAUGCAUGGUGUAGCGGUGAAAUGCUUAGAGAUCACGCAGAACACCGAUUGCGAAGGCAGCCUGCCAAGCCAUGACUGACGCUGAUGCACGAAAGCGUGGGGAUCAAACAGGAUUAGAUACCCGUGUAGUC
RNAcentral lists this ribosomal RNA (460 nucleotides) under uncultured bacterium. RNAcentral describes it as "partial 16S ribosomal RNA". It matches the Rfam family "Bacterial small subunit ribosomal RNA", at positions 338 to 795 of the family's 1533-position model. The record is from RNAcentral.